Molecule: long non-coding RNA, 222 nt
Filed under: Arachis ipaensis
Lineage: Eukaryota; Viridiplantae; Streptophyta; Magnoliopsida; Fabales; Fabaceae
Description: long non-coding RNA (AIPA_LNC000634)
Source: RNAcentral
AUCCCACCGAAGCAGAUUUGCAACAAGUUCUUGCGGAUUUUGAUAAUUGAUAAACCAUGAUGUUGGGAUUUCAUAUUUACAUAUGCUUUUAUUACUAUUUAACUUUUGAGUUUGGAUUUUGAUAAGAUCAUAUGUAUUUGGUUGAUGAUAUUUUAUGUAGUGUUUUUAAUUUCGAAGAUAUUUUAAGAUUUGUAUCAGACUAUAAUUAUAUUUUAGGAUGUG